Molecule: transfer RNA, 69 nt
Filed under: Ictidomys tridecemlineatus (thirteen-lined ground squirrel)
Lineage: Eukaryota; Metazoa; Chordata; Mammalia; Rodentia; Sciuridae
Description: Spermophilus tridecemlineatus (thirteen-lined ground squirrel) tRNA
Rfam family: tRNA
About the family: Transfer RNA (tRNA) molecules are approximately 80 nucleotides in length. Their secondary structure includes four short double-helical elements and three loops (D, anti-codon, and T loops).
Source: Rfam by way of RNAcentral
GGGGUUGUGGCUCAACGGUAGAGCGCUUGCCUAGCAUGUGCAAGGCCCUGAGUUCGAUCCUCAGCACCA